This 331-nucleotide unclassified non-coding RNA is filed under the name soil metagenome. Its description in RNAcentral is "partial contains 5.8S ribosomal RNA, internal transcribed spacer 2, and large subunit ribosomal RNA". The stretch from base 1 to 120 matches the Rfam family "5.8S ribosomal RNA", at positions 35 to 154 of the family's 154-position model. The record is from RNAcentral.
GAUGAAGAACGCAGCGAAAUGCGAUAAGUAAUGUGAAUUGCAGAAUUCAGUGAAUCAUCGAAUCUUUGAACGCACAUUGCGCCCCCUGGUAUUCCGGGGGGCAUGCCUGUUCGAGCGUCAUUUCACCACUCAAGCCUCGCUUGGUAUUGGGCAACGCGGUCCGCCGCGUGCCUCAAAUCGACCGGCUGGGUCUUCUGUCCCCUAAGCGUUGUGGAAACUAUUCGCUAAAGGGUGUUCGGGAGGCUACGCCGUAAAACAACCCCAUUUCUAAGGUUGAACUCGGAUCAGGUAGGGAUACCCGCUGAACUUAAGCAUAUCAAUAAGCGGAGGA